GACGAACGCUGGCGGCGUGCUUAACACAUGCAAGUCGAACGGAAAGGCCCUGCUUUUGUGGGGUGCUCGAGUGGCGAACGGGUGAGUAACACGUGAGUAACCUGCCCUUGACUUUGGGAUAACUUCAGGAAACUGGGGCUAAUACCGGAUAGGAGCUCCUGCUGCAUGGUGGGGGUUGGAAAGUUUCGGCGGUUGGGGAUGGACUCGCGGCUUAUCAGCUUGUUGGUGGGGUAGUGGCUUACCAAGGCUUUGACGGGUAGCCGGCCUGAGAGGGUGACCGGCCACAUUGGGACUGAGAGACGGCCCAGACUCCUACGGGAGGCAGCAGUGGGGAAUAUUGAACAAUGGGCGGAAGCCUGAUGCAGCAACGCCGCGUGCGGGAGGACGGCCUUCGGGUUGUAAACCGCUUUCGCCUGUGACGAAGCGUGAGUGACGGAAAUGGGUAAAGAAGCACCGGCUAACUACGU
This 467-nucleotide ribosomal RNA is filed under the name uncultured bacterium. Its description in RNAcentral is "partial 16S ribosomal RNA". It matches the Rfam family "Bacterial small subunit ribosomal RNA", at positions 28 to 506 of the family's 1533-position model. The record is from RNAcentral.